This is a non-coding RNA of Dermacentor andersoni, 365 nucleotides long. Lineage: Eukaryota; Metazoa; Arthropoda; Arachnida; Ixodida; Ixodidae. The record is from RefSeq and is a predicted model, not a curated record.
GCUGUUUGUGUCCUUGUAUUCCUCGGCUUCGGGCCCAUUUUCCGGUCUGAUACUUCUCGCCAUCUCGUCUCCUUGGGUGAACGCGAAGGGCGCUGCGUGGGCAAGUAUUCUGGUCUGCGUACUACAGCUGUGGCAUGCGGCGGGAAGAAUGCUGUCGCCAGUCCCUCCACCUCCCGUGAUUCCCGGAACGCUGGAGAGAUGCCCGUCGCGGUCCAAUGACACCGGGGUGCUCGCUGGCUCUCGCAUCCUGGCUGAUGAACCACUGCAACUCUACGUGUUCCCGCUGUACCGGUUGUCGUUCUACUGGAUCACCUUCAUCGGAGCCCUCCUCACGAUCCUUUUAGGAACAGCGCUGAGUCUCGUUA